AGAAGAUGGAGGCCGUACGUGCAGGAGAAGAUGCCUGGGGACCUGGGAUCUUCGCUGGAGCCUGCUGGAUCAGUAGGAAAAACAAGGAGAUGUUGACUCAACUGCUGGAGGAUUCCAAGAUUGCAGUGCCCGAGGAUUCAUAGAUUGGCAGUCCCAAGCCACGAGUCAGAACCAGGAAAAGUCCCAUAAGUACCAGGAGUGAUGGAAACCGAUUGUUGGAAGUCUGCAAUGUCCAUUCAUCUCAGCGACAAGACGAAUGUGAAUAUACAACCACCUUAUUAGUGAAAACAAGACUAAAGACGUUUUGAAGGAGUAAAAACUUUUGCAUCGUUGGUCAAAAGGAGAUAAAUUAUUAAUAA
Hyla sarda is the source of this 359-nucleotide long non-coding RNA. RefSeq lists it as uncharacterized. Lineage: Eukaryota; Metazoa; Chordata; Amphibia; Anura; Hylidae. The record is from RefSeq and is a predicted model, not a curated record. The transcript has 3 exons.